UACGUAGGGGGCUAGCGUUGUCCGGAAUCAUUGGGCGUAAAGCGCGUGUAGGCGGUUCGGUAAGUCCGCUGUGAAAAUCGGGGGCUCAACCCUCGGAUGCCGGUGGAUACUGUCGGACUAGAGUACAGAAGGGGCAACUGGAAUUCUCGGUGUAGCGGUGAAAUGCGUAGAUAUACGGAGGAACACCUGCGGCGAAGGCGGGUAGCUGGGCCAACACUGACGCUGAGACGCGAAAGCUAGGGGAGCAAACGGG
RNAcentral lists this ribosomal RNA (253 nucleotides) under uncultured bacterium. RNAcentral describes it as "partial 16S ribosomal RNA". It matches the Rfam family "Bacterial small subunit ribosomal RNA", at positions 524 to 776 of the family's 1533-position model. The record is from RNAcentral.